This 61-nucleotide ribosomal RNA is filed under the name Taenia saginata (beef tapeworm). RNAcentral's name for it is "partial 28S ribosomal RNA". It matches the Rfam family "Eukaryotic large subunit ribosomal RNA", at positions 9 to 69 of the family's 3401-position model. Lineage: Eukaryota; Metazoa; Platyhelminthes; Cestoda; Cyclophyllidea; Taeniidae. The record is from RNAcentral.
GAUCGGUCGUGAGUACCCGCUGAACUUAAGCAUAUCAAUAAGCGGAGGAAAAGAAACCAAC